Long non-coding RNA from Anolis carolinensis (green anole), 952 nucleotides. RefSeq lists it as uncharacterized. The record is from RefSeq and is a predicted model, not a curated record. The transcript has 2 exons. Lineage: Eukaryota; Metazoa; Chordata; Lepidosauria; Squamata; Anolidae.
UAUCCAAGGUCUUUCUUGUCAGGAAGGUAGAAACCAGGGAAGGGGAUCUGCCAACAUCCAGUUUCACAUCUUUGAGAGUUCUAGAAUUGGCCUUUGAGCUGGUUGCUGGUUAGGUUCUAAACUACUCUGGAACCCUCCAGUGCCGUCGCCAGAGCAACCCAUUCGAAACAUCACCAGCUUCUUCAUUUCUCAGAUCAGGACUAAAGCAGAAGGAUCUCUGAAGAUCUUCCUGUCUUCUCUGGUCUGAGAUCACUCUGCUGGAAAAGCCUUUCCUUCUUCCUGAAGGGAUUAUUGAUGCCAACCUGCAUCAUGGACAAGCAGUCCAUGGAGAGAUCUGGGUGGAGAGAGAAGAAGGACCUCAUCGCCAAGUGGUUUCGAGUCCCCUAUUAUCAGUCACUGGGGUUCCUCCUUGCCGUUGUCGGCUGGGUCUUUUGCAUUUUGGGCUGAAAAAGCCAACAAUGGCAAAUCUGGCAGGUGGAAAACUUCCUAGGUAUCCAAGUGGUUAAGAUUGGAUUAUGGAAAGUCCGUUUUCAGCACCAUGCUCUUGAUGACCAAUAUGUCAACACACAUUGCGUAGAAUUCAGCAAACUAGAGAAUUCCAUCCCAACUGGAAUGGUGGUGGCUCAGUUUUUGAUGACCCUCUCAGUUGUCUUACAGACAGCAGCUCUGGCUUUCAUCUCAUAUUGUUUCUGGUUUUCUCCACCAAAGAAGCCAGAGACAGGAAUCUUCAAUCCUCUCUCCUGUGUGGGCAUCCUUCUUAAUCUCCUCUCUGUCUUCAUCACUACCAUUCCCCUAUCCUGGAAUGGUUCAUCCAGCUUGGCAAAAGAGGGGAAUCAGUUCCUGAAGAGCUUGAAUUUGCUGCCUAACCCUCAGGACUAGCACUUUCAUGGGGGUCAUGACACCUUAAUCCCUGUAAAUAUAUACUUCAAAAACCAGUGUUAACCAUUUUAAA